RNAcentral lists this ribosomal RNA (1447 nucleotides) under uncultured bacterium. RNAcentral describes it as "bacterial SSU rRNA". It matches the Rfam family "Bacterial small subunit ribosomal RNA". The record is from RNAcentral.
AGAGUUUGAUCCUGGCUCAGGAUGAACGCUGGCGGCGUGCUUAACACAUGCAAGUCGAACGAACCUUCGGGUUAGUGGCGGACGGGUGAGUAACGCGUGAGAAUCUGCCCUCAGGAGGGGGACAACAGCUGGAAACGGCUGCUAAUACCCCAUAUGCCGCGAGGUGAAAUGAAUUUCGCCUGAGGAUGAGCUCGCGUCUGAUUAGCUAGUUGGUGUAGGUAAUGGCUCACCAAGGCAUCGAUCAGUAGCUGGUCUGAGAGGAUGAUCAGCCACACUGGGACUGAGACACGGCCCAGACUCCUACGGGAGGCAGCAGUGGGGAAUUUUCCGCAAUGGGCGAAAGCCUGACGGAGCAACGCCGCGUGAGGGAUGAAGGCCUCUGGGCUGUAAACCUCUUUUAUCAAGGAAGAAGAUCUGACGGUACUUGAUGAAUAAGCCACGGCUAAUUCCGUGCCAGCAGCCGCGGUAAUACGGGAGUGGCAAGCGUUAUCCGGAAUUAUUGGGCGUAAAGCGUCCGCAGGCGGCCCUUCAAGUCUGCUGUUAAAAAGUGGAGCUUAACUCCAUCAUGGCAGUGGAAACUGUUGGGCUUGAGUGUGGUAGGGGCAGAGGGAAUUCCCGGUGUAGCGGUGAAAUGCGUAGAUAUCGGGAAGAACACCAGUGGCGAAGGCGCUCUGCUGGGCCAUCACUGACGCUCAUGGACGAAAGCCAGGGGAGCGAAAGGGAUUAGAUACCCCUGUAGUCCUGGCCGUAAACGAUGAACACUAGGUGUCGGGGGAAUCGACCCCCUCGGUGUCGUAGCCAACGCGUUAAGUGUUCCGCCUGGGGAGUACGCACGCAAGUGUGAAACUCAAAGGAAUUGACGGGGGCCCGCACAAGCGGUGGAGUAUGUGGUUUAAUUCGAUGCAACGCGAAGAACCUUACCAGGGUUUGACAUCCUGCGAAUCUCUUGGAAACGAGAGAGUGCCUUCGGGAACGCAGUGACAGGUGGUGCAUGGCUGUCGUCAGCUCGUGUCGUGAGAUGUUGGGUUAAGUCCCGCAACGAGCGCAACCCACGUCUUUAGUUGCCAGCAUUUAGUUGGGCACUCUAGAGAGACCGCCGGUGAUAAACCGGAGGAAGGUGUGGAUGACGUCAAGUCAUCAUGCCCCUUACAUCCUGGGCUACACACGUACUACAAUGCUACGGACAAAGGGCAGCAAGUUCGCGAGGACAAGCAAAUCCCAUAAACCGUGGCUCAGUUCAGAUCGUAGGCUGCAACUCGCCUACGUGAAGGAGGAAUCGCUAGUAAUCGCAGGUCAGCAUACUGCGGUGAAUACGUUCCCGGGCCUUGUACACACCGCCCGUCACACCAUGGAAGUUGGCCACGCCCGAAGCCGUUACUCCAACCCUUGUGGAGGAGGACGUCGAAGGUGGGGCUGAUGACUGGGGUGAAGUCGUAACAAGGUAACC